This is a long non-coding RNA of Marmota monax (woodchuck), 353 nucleotides long. RefSeq lists it as uncharacterized. The transcript has 2 exons. The record is from RefSeq and is a predicted model, not a curated record. NCBI's taxonomy places the organism in Eukaryota, Metazoa, Chordata, Mammalia, Rodentia, Sciuridae.
CUCGGCUGGUUUCUUGGCAUCUGAUUCCACUGUGGAACAAUCAUACCCCUGGCCCGAGCAGGCCUGAGAACAGCGAGAAGUGUUUCCUGGGGAGCAAAUUCCUGAACUGGGACCUGGGCAUGUGGCAGUGGAUCCCACCUGCCUUUCCCUCCCAGACUCCGCUCCUCGCAGGCAGAGCUGCCCUUUGACGCCUGCGUCUCAGUACCUGACUCAGGAGUGAGCACCUAGAGAAUUGGGCCCAGCUGAAGGAAUGAGUGGCUCUCCAGCUCCUUGGUUACAAUCUGCUGGUUGAUAUGACUGCUACCAUGCUCAUGAAAUUUAAAUUAAUUACACUAAAAUAAGAUGAAAACUUU